Long non-coding RNA from Myotis brandtii (Brandt's bat), 319 nucleotides. RefSeq lists it as uncharacterized. Lineage: Eukaryota; Metazoa; Chordata; Mammalia; Chiroptera; Vespertilionidae. The transcript has 3 exons. The record is from RefSeq and is a predicted model, not a curated record.
GAAGGGCCGUGUUCAUAGGAAGGGUCUUCCUUCAGCAGCUCCAGAGAGGCAUUGAGAAUUGGCAGGUUACUUUACCUGCCUGCUGCUCCUACUGGGAGAGAUGGUGCCUGCUGAGAAAGUCUUCCCUGUUUUGGAUGCAAACCAACCUUCGUAGCUGCAGACUCUACCCUGGAAGCUUUCCCCAACUUUAUGGAGAGCUGUUGGUACUUAAGCAAGAAAAGCUGGGCAAGGAGUCUGUGCAGAGUUGAGUCUGGACCAGCUCUCUAAGGAUCCCACAAAGGCUUUGGGCCAGCGCGCUACUCUCGAAAACGCACAUAGG